GGUGCUGGGGGCUCGGGCACUCUCUUUGUAGCGAGUCGGGGGAAAGGGGUUGCUCGAGACCGCUAAAACAUCCCAAGCAGGUCACGCGGCGGUGGGUCGUCGACCGGUGGCCGCGCGAGGGUGCAGCGGUGGCCACCCGAAGGCGUUGUAGCAGCGGCCGGCGCAGGUAGGGGAGUAGGUAGAGGUAUCGGGGCGGAGGGAGGGGAAGUGAGGGGCUGGUGUGGGUAGAGACAAGCGGCGGCCGGCAGCGUCCUCGAGCUGGUGCUCCUGCCCGGCGGUGUCCUUGAGUUGGUGCCGCCGCCCGGCGGUGUCCUCGAGAUGGGGUUGUGGUGGAGGGCACCACGGCGACGAUUAGUCGCCGUCCCUUGUGGUCAAUCGGUGGUGGCGGCCGGUCGGAGAGUGGGCUCGACGUCGUGGUGGCGGCCGGAAGGAUAGUGGGUUAGACGUCGUGGUCGCAGCCGGAAUGAGUUCUACCUUUUCCUUUUCCGUUUAACCCUACGUGUAGUGUAUUGGCACAAAACACUCAAUACGUUUCUACUCCACCUAUUUCCAUUAUCCGGUUUCGCAACAAACUUGGCAUCUCCCAUGUUUGUAGAACUUCUCUUCAAGAAACUAUUCUGACCUUUUUCUACAAGCGUCUUAGUCAAAUGUUUAUUUACCCUGUACGACUUCUCUGUUAUACAUGUUAAGUACAACAACUUUGUACGCCGCUGACCCGAUCCAACCCUACUACACUUCUUUUGAUAACAUCGGCUACUACUGACCACCUUUCAAGUAGAAUUCUUUUUGGGCUUCGUACGUUUCAUAUUCUUUUUCCCGAACAGAUUGAACCUUCUUUACGUUUCCUCCCGUUCCAGAGUGGAUUCCUACCGUUCAGACGUUUCCUCCCGUUCCAAAGUUUUUUACACUUCGCGUUCCGGUUCAAAUAACUGCUCAGUCGAUUCCUCCUGUUCUUGGGGAAAGAUGCACUCAUAUUCCGGUGUGAUCCCUUAUAUUUGAAUCUCUAUCGUCGAUGAGUACGAGGUUGUUCACAACAAGGAUGGUACUUCCUUCAAGAUUGAAGCUACUUCCUCACACCGCGCCUUCUCCCUUGAGGAAACAUAAAGUGUCGUUGGCUGGAACAGGAGGUUAGCUUGAUAUCUCUCAACAAGUACGAGUAGCUCUGUUUUCUCCCCUCCGAACUAACCGACUUUUCCUUUGUACUAGUUUACUUGUUUAUCAUGGUGUGCUGGAACAGGAGGUUGGCUAGAAGCACUACAUUACUUGGUAUAGAUACAAUAAGAAGAGGUUGGCUAGUUGAUAAACAUCUUGAUAAAUAAAACGAUACAUACUUGUGCACAGAAGCACUACAUUACUUGGCAUAGAUACAAUAACAAGAGUACAAACAAUCUAUCUAUGGUAUAGAUACACAUGUACAACGACGGUAUACAGAUGUACAACAACAACAGGUCAAAAACAUAUACAACAACGACGGUCAAAGAAGGUAUUAAUCGUCACAACAACAGGUUAAAAACAUGUACAAGAACGAAAGUAUAGAUUGUUACAACGACGGGUUAAAAAACCAUCUACUUACCUCACCUGGUCCUAUGGCUACUACUCGGAUUGUUUUCCUCCUCUUUCGAGUGCGCCAACCGUUGAAACCGUACAGUUCAACCUACGUACCCGGUGUAUCCAUUAGUGAUAUGGUUCUGGAUAGAUGUUUUUCUUGGUAUAUCCUAAGGUCUUGUUUGACCAGUACUUACCCAAUACCUCUGAGAACCAGCCUUUUCCUCAACAAUAUCCUACAAAUCCUACUUAGGUUCUCAUAAAGUCAGUAAUGUAUUACAAGAUCACAGAGUAAUACCUAACUUCAGUUCAUCUCUUCAUUGUAGUGUUCUCAGAAAUCGAUACAAGAACACCUAUCAACCACCUGGAGUUAGUAAGAGAGUUCAACUUUUAGCAAAAAGUUCUAGUUUCCUUUGUCAAGUAACUUUCAAGUUUCUUCAUAACUUAACGAACACGUUCAAUCGUCCUGUAUUGUAUUGUGGAGCACUACUAAGAAAGUGUUGGUACGUACUUUCUUAAGUUCUACUCUCCAAAACCGGAGUAAAGUUUCCACGGUAACCGCGUUAUCUACCGACGGUGUAAGGUCAAUGUCAUGGUCACCUACUCCAACUCCAGCUGUACCUAAAGGUAGUGUUUUACAAUACCGCCAAACACUAAAGCUGUACUCCAAAUGAAAACAACACCGACCAACCGGGCCAAGUCUUGUACUGUGUUCCUAGAAUUUACUAUCGAACCAGUUCAUGCGUCUAUUCAAGGGAUGUGGAGGUCGUCCUUGUAUAAUGGAGCAGCUGAGCCUUAUAGGUUUGGCACUUCCUAUAGAACGAGGAAUGUUUCCAGUUUAUAUGGUAUAUGGCCUUAAAGCAUUACCCGUUUUUGGCCACCCUUUUAAGCUCCACAUAUUAGUACGAGUGAGAAGUGAAGCUUUGCAGUAACUUGCUUGUAAACCUCACGAGUUUCGAUUUACCGCGUAGAACUUCCCAUACGGAUCAAAGUCGGGAGCAUCUGUUUUUUUCUAAUAAUAACGGACAUACAGUAACGUGUUGAUGUAAGCACUCUGGUUCAACGGACUACUCCUCAAACUGUUUACACUACUUCUACUUCUAAUACAAGGGCUACUCCUGAACGCUCAUGCCAGUGAGGUUCCUCUAUCACAAGGACGCUCUGAACUGUAGCAGCUGUACUUGUUUCAAGCACUGUCCUAACGAUUGAGGAACUACUCGAGCUCACCUAUCUCAACAACCCUACAUCUUCACAUAUAUUAUAAAACGUGGCGAGGAUCAUUAGAUCAACAACCCGACAGCAAAGAAUUUUUACGUUCCCAACAUUACAUGACUACAUAACUAGUUACUACUUUAUAAACCC
RNAcentral lists this ribosomal RNA (2907 nucleotides) under Triticum aestivum (bread wheat). Its description in RNAcentral is "partial small subunit ribosomal RNA". The record is from RNAcentral. Lineage: Eukaryota; Viridiplantae; Streptophyta; Magnoliopsida; Poales; Poaceae.